AAGUCGUAACAAGGUUUCCGUAGGUGAACCUGCGGAAGGAUCAUUACCGAACUGUCGACACGAGUUGUUGCUGGCCCUCGAGAGGGGGCACGUGCACGCUCUGUUUACACAUCCACUCACACCUGUGCACCCUCUGUAGUUCUGUGGCCUUGGGGGCUCUGUCCCCUUGCCGUGGUCCUACGUCUUUACACACACACCGUAACAAAGUCUCAUGGAAUGUAUGUCGCAUUUAACGCAAUACAAUACAACUUUCAGCAACGGAUCUCUUGGCUCUC
RNAcentral lists this unclassified non-coding RNA (275 nucleotides) under Tomentella subtestacea. RNAcentral's name for it is "partial internal transcribed spacer region". The stretch from base 1 to 46 matches the Rfam family "Eukaryotic small subunit ribosomal RNA", at positions 1786 to 1831 of the family's 1831-position model. Lineage: Eukaryota; Fungi; Basidiomycota; Agaricomycetes; Thelephorales; Thelephoraceae. The record is from RNAcentral.